AACGAACGCUGGCGGCAUGCCUAACACAUGCAAGUCGAACGAGACCGUCGGGUCUAGUGGCGCACGGGUGCGUAACGCGUGGGAACCUGCCCUUAGGUUCGGAAUAACUCCCCGAAAGGGGUGCUAAUACCGGAUAAUGUCUUCGGACCAAAGAUUUUUCGCCUUUGGAUGGGCCCGCGUUGGAUUAGCUAGUUGGUAGGGUAAAAGCCUACCAAGGCGACGAUCCAUAGCUGGUCUGAGAGGAUGCUCAGCCACACUGGGACUGGGACACGGCCCAGACUCCUACGGGAGGCAGCAGUGGGGAAUAUUGGACAAUGGGCGAAAGCCUGAUCCAGCAAUGCCGCGUGAGUGAUGAAGGCCUUAGGGUUGUAAAGCUCUUUUACCCGGGAUGAUAAUGACAGUACCGGGAGAAUAAGCUCCGCCUAACUCCGU
Molecule: ribosomal RNA, 432 nt
Filed under: uncultured bacterium
Lineage: Bacteria
Description: partial 16S ribosomal RNA
Rfam family: Bacterial small subunit ribosomal RNA
Source: RNAcentral